AGUGAACGCUGGCGGUAGGCCUAACACAUGCAAGUCGAACGGCAGCACAGUAAGAGCUUGCUCUUACGGGUGGCGAGUGGCGGACGGGUGAGGAAUACAUCGGAAUCUACUUUUUCGUGGGGGAUAACGUAGGGAAACUUACGCUAAUACCGCAUACGACCUACGGGUGAAAGCAGGGGAUCUUCGGACCUUGCGCGAUCGAGUGAGCCGAUGUCGGAUUAGCUAGUUGGCGGGGUAAAGGCCCACCAAGGCGACGAUCCGUAGCUGGUCUGAGAGGAUGAUCAGCCACACUGGAACUGAGACACGGUCCAGACUCCUACGGGAGGCAGCAGUGGGGAAUAUUGGACAAUGGGCGCAAGCCUGAUCCAGCCAUACCGCGUGGGUGAAGAAGGCCUUCGGGUUGUAAAGCCCUUUUGUUGGGAAAGAAAAGCAGCAGGUUAAUACCCCGCUGUUCUGACGGUACCCAAAGAAUAAGCACCGGCUAACUUCGUG
Molecule: ribosomal RNA, 492 nt
Filed under: uncultured bacterium
Lineage: Bacteria
Description: partial 16S ribosomal RNA
Rfam family: Bacterial small subunit ribosomal RNA
Source: RNAcentral